RNAcentral lists this ribosomal RNA (440 nucleotides) under uncultured bacterium. RNAcentral's name for it is "partial 16S ribosomal RNA". It matches the Rfam family "Bacterial small subunit ribosomal RNA", at positions 338 to 795 of the family's 1533-position model. The record is from RNAcentral.
CCUACGGGAGGCAGCAGUGGGGAAUAUUGCACAAUGGGGGAAACCCUGAUGCAGCGACGCCGCGUGAGCGAUGAAGUAUUUCGGUAUGUAAAGCUCUAUCAGCAGGGAAGAAAAUGACGGUACCUGACUAAGAAGCACCGGCUAACUACGUGCCAGCAGCCGCGGUAAUACGUAGGGGGCAAGCGUUAUCCGGAUUUACUGGGUGAAAAGGGAGCGUAGACGGUCCUGCAAGCCAGAUGUGAAAGCCCGGGGCGCAAACCCGGGACUGCAUUUGGAACUGUAAGGCUAGAGUGUCGGAGAGGCAGGCGGAAGUCCUAGUGUAGCGGUGAAAGGCGUAGAUAUUAGGAGGAACACCAGUGGCGAAGGCGGCCUGCUGGACGAUGACUGACGUUGAGGCUCGAAAGCGUGGGGAGCAAACAGGAUUAGAUACCCGAGUAGUC